This 494-nucleotide ribosomal RNA is filed under the name Conchiformibius sp. canine oral taxon 289. RNAcentral describes it as "bacterial SSU rRNA". It matches the Rfam family "Bacterial small subunit ribosomal RNA", at positions 9 to 496 of the family's 1533-position model. Lineage: Bacteria; Pseudomonadati; Pseudomonadota; Betaproteobacteria; Neisseriales; Neisseriaceae. The record is from RNAcentral.
GAGUUUGAUUAUGGCUCAGAUUGAACGCUGGCGGCAUGCUUUACACAUGCAAGUCGGACGGCAGCACGGGUGCUUGCACCUGGUGGCGAGUGGCGAACGGGUGAGUAAUGCAUUGGAACGUACCGAGUAGUGGGGGAUAACUGUCCGAAAGGAUAGCUAAUACCGCAUACGACCUCAGGGUGAAAGCAGGGGACCUUAGGGCCUUGCGCUAUUUGAGCGGCCAAUGUCUGAUUAGCUGGUUGGUGGGGUAAAGGCCUACCAAGGCGACGAUCAGUAGCGGGUCUGAGAGGAUGAUCCGCCACACUGGGACUGAGACACGGCCCAGACUCCUACGGGAGGCAGCAGUGGGGAAUUUUGGACAAUGGGCGCAAGCCUGAUCCAGCCAUGCCGCGUGUCUGAAGAAGGCCUUCGGGUUGUAAAGGACUUUUGUACGGGAAGAAAAGGUUGUGGAUAAUACCCAUGACUGAUGACGGUACCGUAAGAAUAAAGCACUG